GUGAGGAAUUUUCCGCAAUGGGCGAAAGCCUGACGGAGCAAUGCCGCGUGAAGAAUGAAGGCCUAUGGGUUGUAAACUUCUUUUCUCAGAAAAGAAUUAUGACGGUAUCUGAGGAAUAAGCAUCGGCUAACUCUGUGCCAGCAGCCGCGGUAAGACAGAGGAUGCAAGCGUUAUCCGGAAUGAUUGGGCGUAAAGCGUCUGUAGGUUGUUUAAAAAGUAUUCUGUCAAAGAUUAGGGCUUAACCCUAGAUAGGCAGAAUAAACUUUUAAGCUAGAGGUUGGUAGAGGCAGAGGGAAUUCCCGGUGGAGCGGUGAAAUGCGUAGAUAUCGGGAGGAACACCAAAGGCGAAGGCACUCUGCUGGGCCAAUACUAACACUGAGAGACGAAAGCGAGGGGAGCAAAUGGGAUUAGAAACCCGGGUAGUCC
Molecule: ribosomal RNA, 426 nt
Filed under: uncultured bacterium
Lineage: Bacteria
Description: partial 16S ribosomal RNA
Rfam family: Bacterial small subunit ribosomal RNA
Source: RNAcentral